CUUGUGAUGCAUGUUCGAUAAUCUUGUGAUGUAUAUUCGAAAUCUUGUGAUGUGUGUUCUACAAUUCAGUGAUGCGUGCAAUAAAAUUGCAUGACGCAACAGAAAAGUAAGGACAAUUUUCAUUGGUUAGAAAUAACGAAAGUAGCUGAAGCGUCGGGAAAACCAUGCAGGUGAGAAAAAACACAUCAGUUUGUUUAUUGCAGCACUAAUUACGAGAUGCACGAGUGUUGUUCCUGGUGACAUGAUGGAGAUAUUUCGGCCUGCUAGGGAAAAAACUCAGUAAACGUAGAUGUAUUGACAAAAUUUGUAGAUGAGCUGAUCGCCAACCAGGAGAUCAGAAUGAUCGCAUCUGCUCCUGCCACUUUAAGGAUGGUAAGAAGGAGGGGGACCCUGCAUAUUUUGCAUGGAAUGAAGGAAAGGCCAUGGAUUUCUCUGAUCCUGAAUGUACAAAAAGGAGGAAAAAACUCAAAAGUGAGGAGUCCCUGUCAUCUUCACAGAUGGACCAGUUGCAGAUUCAACAAGCACCAAAAUGUCAAUAUCAAGAAAAAUUGAUAUCAGAGCACAACUACUCAGCAUCCUGCACAUUUAACUGUACUCAAGAAAUGCAGCGCCUCUCAACAGAAAUACAACUGGAAAAGGAAUUGCUUGCCCUAAAAAUAGAGUCUAGUAAAAGGAAGCCAAUAUCAAUCCACGAUAUUAAAUACAAUGAAGAGAAGGUCUCUGAUCAGCAGGGGCAUUUUCUCUAUAUAUAAGAAGAAAAUGGAGACUCCCUACCCACCCGAUGUAUUUUGUCGGACAGUUUUCUGUACAUUGCAGUCACCAAUAUAUCCAAAUAUCAUCACCGGCCCAGACGUCAUUCACUCCUUUGAAUUGUGCUGGUAGCAGUAAGGUGA
Molecule: RNA transcript, 893 nt
Organism: Saccostrea cuccullata (small rock oyster)
Lineage: Eukaryota; Metazoa; Mollusca; Bivalvia; Ostreida; Ostreidae
Exons: 6
Source: RefSeq, a predicted model, not a curated record